UGGGGAAUAUUGCGCAAUGGGCGAAAGCCUGACGCAGCAACGCCGCGUGAGUGAUGAAGGUCUUCGGAUUGUAAACCACUGUCGCGAGGGACGAAGCUCUGACGGUACCUCGAAAGGAAGCACCGGCUAACUCUGUGCCAGCAGCCGCGGUAAUACAGAGGGUGCGAGCGUUGUCCGGAAUCACUGGGCGUAAAGGGCGCGUAGGCGGCCCGGUAAGUAGGGGGUGAAAUCUCAUGGCUCAACUGUGAGGCUGCCUUCUAGACUGCCAGGCUUGAGCACAGUAGAGGCGAGUGGAAUUCCCGGUGUAGCGGUGGAAUGCGUAGAGAUCGGGAAGAACAUCGGUGGCGAAGGCGGCUCGCUGGGCUGUUGCUGACGCUGAGGCGCGAAAGCGUGGGGAGCAAACAGGAUUAGAUACCCUCGUAGUCCCUGAGCGGGCUGGCAAGGCGCAU
This 449-nucleotide ribosomal RNA is filed under the name uncultured bacterium. RNAcentral's name for it is "bacterial SSU rRNA". It matches the Rfam family "Bacterial small subunit ribosomal RNA", at positions 355 to 825 of the family's 1533-position model. The record is from RNAcentral.